Molecule: ribosomal RNA, 574 nt
Filed under: uncultured bacterium
Lineage: Bacteria
Description: bacterial SSU rRNA
Rfam family: Bacterial small subunit ribosomal RNA
Source: RNAcentral
ACGGGAGGCAGCAGUAGGGAAUCUUCCACAAUGGGCGAAAGCCUGAUGGAGCAACGCCGCGUGAGUGAAGAAGGAUUUCAGUUCGUAAAACUCUGUUGUAAGGGAAGAACAAGUACAGUAGUAACUGGCUGUACCUUGACGGUACCUUAUUAGAAAGCCACGGCUAACUACGUGCCAGCAGCCGCGGUAAUACGUAGGUGGCAAGCGUUGUCCGGAAUUAUUGGGCGUAAAGCGCGCGCAGGUGGUUUCUUAAGUCUGAUGUGAAAGCCCACGGCUCAACCGUGGAGGGUCAUUGGAAACUGGGAGACUUGAGUGCAGAAGAGGAUAGUGGAAUUCCAAGUGUAGCGGUGAAAUGCGUAGAGAUUUGGAGGAACACCAGUGGCGAAGGCGACUAUCUGGUCUGUAACUGACACUGAGGCGCGAAAGCGUGGGGAGCAAACAGGAUUAGAUACCCUGGUAGUCCACGCCGUAAACGAUGAGUGCUAAGUGUUAGGGGGUUUCCGCCCCUUAGUGCUGCAGCUAACGCAUUAAGCACUCCGCCUGGGGAGUACGGUCGCAAGACUGAAACUCAAAG